UGGCAUCAUUGUACUUCCACUUUGCACUCCCUUUCCACGGGACUAACUGACAGCACAAGAUGCAAGACAGUGAAGAAUCAGACCCCAUAAUUGUGUGUUGGGCACUGCGUCAGUGCUGUGAUAGACUACCGAUGGAAUGGGUGUGGUUUGGAGAGGCAGAAGGUCUAGGGCUGAACCUGCACCUCUGAAGUCACUUGGAGCUGCAUUAGGGCCAUUAUCAGCUUGAUCAGUUACUGGAAAUAUUAAAAAAUAGUUUCACACCAUGGCUACUCUGGAUGAAUUUACCAGACGACAGUAUCUCCUACACCUGAAUCCAGAUAUUUGAAAGGAUAUUUGAAAGGAUAUUUAUAAAAAGAGGCAUAGCCAAAUUCAGUUCCCUGUUAUACCAAUGUGCAUCUGAAUAAAAUCCACUGAAGUCAUUGGAACUAUUAUGGAUUUAUACUGUCAUAGCAGAGACAGCGGUAUUUGGCUACAAUCUUUAUAUGGAGAUGUAGAACUGAGUCCUGGCAAUGGAAAAGGAGCCCAGAAAACAACUUGUUUAUUAUAAGCAGGUCAGUCCUCCAGGGGACUCGUGGAAUCACGCAGUGGGAGAGGACAAUCACAGCACUGAAAUGGUGGAUAAUUUUAUUUGUUCCACUUGAUGGUCACAGUGGCAUCAUGCUGGCCAAUUACUCUUGAGUCAGCAGGUUUCAGAGGUUAAGAGCCACUUGUGGAUUGCAGCACUGCAGGCAAAGUAUUCAGGCCAGAUUGAAACCAUUUCAACCUCAGAGACGCCAGCCUUUUUCUCCCUUGGAGAUCUCCUUUUUCAUCUAUAUACAAGGCGUACAUGUAAUAGAAUAAGCAUGUCUUUAGCAUCAAGACAACUUAAUUGUGGAGAGUGGAAAGAAUGCCAGCUUCAGAUAAAUAAAGGGGCAAUAAACCAGAGAGGUAUACUACACAAUGGAGGCAUGAAAUGUACAAAUAUCGCAAAACUUAAAUGUUAGUUCCAAAGGAAAGAGCAGUCUGGGAACAGUCCUCAUGCCAGCAACCUCCUAAUGUUUCCAAACAGCUGAAUCUUUAACAAUUUCUUCACAUUUUUGUCAAGUGGAAAUGUUUUAAGCCACUUCUUCAGUGAUCGGUAAUUCUAAGGGGGAAAACAGCAGAAAAAACAUUUGUUUUAGCGGUAGAUCUGCCACAAGCGAUUGGGCAGAGGCGGAUAUGAAAUCCAAGCUACUAGAAAUAACCAGUAUCAGAAAUAUUUUGCUGCAAGAGCUAUUCAGUUUCUGAAGGAUG
Mauremys mutica (yellowpond turtle) is the source of this 1272-nucleotide long non-coding RNA. RefSeq lists it as uncharacterized. The transcript has 3 exons. The record is from RefSeq and is a predicted model, not a curated record. NCBI's taxonomy places the organism in Eukaryota, Metazoa, Chordata, Testudines, Geoemydidae.